Non-coding RNA from Camellia sinensis, 268 nucleotides. NCBI's taxonomy places the organism in Eukaryota, Viridiplantae, Streptophyta, Magnoliopsida, Ericales, Theaceae. The record is from RefSeq and is a predicted model, not a curated record.
CCAAACAAGCUCGUGAUCCAAAAGAUGAUCAAAUUGUUCAAUCUUUCCGUGAAUUGCUUUUGCUCGAGGGCCAUCUGCCAGGGAAACACAGUGAUUACCACACACUUUUACGAUUUUUGCGAAUGAGGGAUUUUGAUCUGAUGAAAGAAAAAGAUAUGUUUUUACAAUAUCUUAAAUGGCGAGAAGAAUUUGAAGUUGAUACAAUUGUAAAGGAAUUUAAGUUCGAAGAGUACAAAGAGGUUAAGAAAUGCUAUCCUCAUGGAUUUCA